RNAcentral lists this ribosomal RNA (459 nucleotides) under uncultured bacterium. Its description in RNAcentral is "partial 16S ribosomal RNA". It matches the Rfam family "Bacterial small subunit ribosomal RNA", at positions 338 to 795 of the family's 1533-position model. The record is from RNAcentral.
CCUACGGGAGGCAGCAGUGAGGAAUAUUGGUCAAUGGGAGAGAUCCUGAACCAGCCAAGCCGCGUGCGGGAAGACGGCCCUAUGGGUUGUAAACCUCUUUUGUCGGAGAACAAAACCCGGGACGUGUCCCGGACUGCGUGUAUCCGAAGAAAAAGCAUCGGCUAACUCCGUGCCAGCAGCCGCGGUAAUACGGAGGAUGCGAGGGUUAUCCGGAUUUAUUGGGUUUAAGGGGUGCGUAGGCGGUCCGUUAAGUCAGCGGGAAAAUUGCGGGGCUCAACCCCGUCGAGCCGUUGAAACUGGCAGACUUGAGUUGGCGAGAAGUACGCGGAAUGCGCGGUGUAGCGGUGAAAUGCAUAGAUAUCGCGCAGAACUCCGAUUGCGAAGGCAGCGUACCGGCGCCAGACUGACGCUGAGGCACGAAAGCGUGGGGAUCGAACAGGAUUAGAUACCCCGGUAGUC